RNAcentral lists this small RNA (565 nucleotides) under Pan troglodytes (chimpanzee). RNAcentral's name for it is "processed transcript". Lineage: Eukaryota; Metazoa; Chordata; Mammalia; Primates; Hominidae. The record is from RNAcentral.
UUUGUAAAAUGCUUAACAUUUAUAAAAUACUUAAUAUAUUGUAAUGGCUAUGAUAAUGAUUAUUAUUGGAUCAGAGUUAGAUUCUUAAGUUAACAAGAAUAUGAAUUGGGCAAAACAUAAAAAGUUGGAAUGAAGAAACUCCUGUUGGGAAGCUAAUACCUUUUCCUGGUGCACUGGCAACUUUUUUCCUAAAUAUUAGGAAUUACACCAAGAAUCUGACAUGGAAUUUAAUAAUACUACACAAGAAGAUGUUCAGGAGCGCCUGGCUUAUGCAGAGCAAUUGGUGGUGGAGCUAAAAGAUAUUAUUAGACAGAAGGAUGUUCAACUGCAGCAGAAAGAUGAAGCUCUACAGGAAGAAAGAAAAGCUGCUGAUAACAAAAUUAAAAAACUAAAACUUCAUGCGAAGGCCAAAUUAACUUCUUUGAAUAAAUACAUAGAAGAAAUGAAAGCACAAGGAGGGACUGUUCUGCCUACAGAACCUCAGUCAGAGGAGCAACUUUCCAAGGUAUGGUGACUGGGUGUAGUGUAUAUUUCCUAAGUUGAAAAAACCUACCAAUACAGCAGA